RNAcentral lists this ribosomal RNA (1044 nucleotides) under Triticum aestivum (bread wheat). RNAcentral describes it as "partial small subunit ribosomal RNA". The record is from RNAcentral. Lineage: Eukaryota; Viridiplantae; Streptophyta; Magnoliopsida; Poales; Poaceae.
AUGCAGCGGAGGAGAUUGCCGCCGCCGGCCACCACCCUGGACUCCUCCUCCUCCCCAAAUCCCGCAGCAACAGCCUCGUCGCCCUACUUCCUGCCGGAGCUCGCGAGUCGCCUGACCACCCUCCAGGAUUUCUUCGCCCUCCACGCCACCUACCGGGAUCUCCUCCCUCCGUCGCCGUCCGGCCUCGCCUCCCAAGCCCCGCACCUCCUCCUCGUCCCUGGAUCUCGAGCCCUGUUCCACCUCCCCCUCCGCCGCCACCUGCGUUUUCGUCUCCCCCUCCCCGAUGCAGAUCCUACCACCCCUGCCGCCUUCUACUCUUUCGGCUGCCGCGUCGCCAUAGCCAGCCCCAGCCAUCACGACCUCAGCUUUGUCCACCUCCUGACAGGCGAGCGAUUUCGCCUCCCCCAUCCACCAGCAGACUUCUGUCGCCUCCUCCUCUCCGGCGAUCUCGUGCUCGCCUUUCUUCCGACUGUCGGCCAUGUCCUCAAGUACUGCCGCCUUGGGGAUGCUGAGUGGCGCCUGGCGUCAUGCAGUGAAGCCUAUGUGCUUGAGGAUUUGAUCUUUGUCAAGGGCACCCUGCACGCGCUAGUCAGAUCUGAAGAUGCCGGCAGCUUAUGUUACCGUCUAGCGGUUGUCAAGCUGUCAGACACCAAUUCAGUGGAAUUCACGUUUUUUGGAGAUCAGUUGGAUACACAAGCCGCACAUCAGUGUUUAUAUUUCUGCCUCGCGGAAUGUCUCGACGAGUUGCUGCUUGUUGGUGCCACGGGGUACACUCCAGAGGAGUUUCAUGUUUUCCGGUGGCAGUCCAGGGAGGGCAAGUGGACAAGGACUACUAGCCUUGGUGGCUGCACAAUGUUCUUGUCAUAUUUUCAUUUUACAAAUCGAACGAGAUCCUUUGGAGGCUUUUUCUUUGCAAGUUGCCUUGGUCCAGAUCAUCCAGGGGUUCGAAGGGACUACUUGUACUUAACAGAUGCUGACAGAGAAAGUGGGUUGAGUAUUCCUUGGCUGAUGGAUCUUCUGAUGAAUAUGUUGCUGAGAACUUAG